Meriones unguiculatus (Mongolian gerbil) is the source of this 807-nucleotide long non-coding RNA. RefSeq lists it as uncharacterized. The transcript is spliced from 2 exons. The record is from RefSeq and is a predicted model, not a curated record. Lineage: Eukaryota; Metazoa; Chordata; Mammalia; Rodentia; Muridae.
UGUGGCUUUACAUCUGGGUGGUUCAGCAAAGAGAGCAGCUGUGGAGAAGCUCCUCAGGCAGGAGUUCAGCUGGAGCAACCAGACCCCUGGGGGGAGGAAGGAAAGUCAAUAACACAGAGAGAAAGAGGCAGAGGGGCAAACUAGAGUGCUGCUGAGGGGCUGGACCUUGCCUGGAAGUGAGGCCAGGUCAAACUUGGAUCUAGAGCCUGAGGAGUGGGGUUGGGAGGGUGAGUGUCUGCAUGUCUCCCUCUCCCACCCCAUCUUACAGUGCUGCACGCUCCAAUUUUGAGAUCAAAGCCCCAGCAGGAGCUCGUGAACAUCAGGGAGACCUGGUUUGGCCUAUGGAGGUUGGCAGAGGAGAACCUGCAAAGGCCCAGAGGUGCACAGGGUAGAAAGUCCUAGGGAAACCACAGUAGUGCUCAAAAUGAAGGUGAAGCACACUUACCACAAAGGGAAGCAUGUGAGAGGACACAGUCCGUUGGCAAAUGAACGGGUGUUCGCUCCCCAUCUGCCGCUUGUGCCAGACCUGGCAAGCGCUCCUCUUCAUCUUUGUGCUGCACUGACCUCACAGGUGAAACUGCUCAACUGAUGGCCUUAGUAAAGCGCCUUUUUGGUUUUUCGAGAAAGGGGUUCAGGCCCAGAGAUGACUUUAAACUCCCGAUCCCCCUGCUUCUACCUCCCCAGGACUUCUUAACCUUUUUAUACUUGUGAUCCUUUCUGCCUCUCAGAAUCUUCUAUGUCCCCUGGUAUAAGUCUAUGAAACAGAUAUGCAGAGCAACCACUUACUCAUAACCAAUCACAAACAAA